GUCGAGAAUAAUUCACAAUGGACGAAAGUCUGAUGGUGCAACGCCGCGUGGAGGAUGAAGGUCUUCGGAUUGUAAACUCCUGUCAUCGGGGAGUAAGACCUGGCGGUAAAUAGCCGACAGGGUUGAUAGUACCCGAAGAGGAAGGGACGGCUAACUUCGUGCCAGCAGCCGCGGUAAUACGAAGGUCCCAAGCGUUGUUCGGAAUCACUGGGCGUAAAGGGAGCGUAGGCUGCGCGGUAAGUCAGGUGUGAAAUCCCGGGGCUCAACCCCGGAACUGCACCCGAUACUGCCGUGCUAGAGGGUUGGAGAGGUGACUGGAAUUCUCGGUGUAGCAGUGAAAUGCGUGGAUAUCGAGAGGAACACUCGUGGCGAAGGCGAGUCACUGGACAACAUCUGACGCUGAGGCUCGAAGGCCAGGGGAGCAAAAGGGAUUAGAAACCCCAGUAGUCC
Molecule: ribosomal RNA, 450 nt
Filed under: uncultured bacterium
Lineage: Bacteria
Description: partial 16S ribosomal RNA
Rfam family: Bacterial small subunit ribosomal RNA
Source: RNAcentral